UGGGGAAUAUUGGACAAUGGGCGAAAGCCUGAUCCAGCCAUGCCGCGUGUGUGAAGAAGGUCUUCGGAUUGUAAAGCACUUUAAGUUGGGAGGAAGGGCAGUAAGCGAAUACCUUGCUGUUUUGAUGUUACCAACAGAAUAAGCACCGGCUAACUCUGUGCCAGCAGCCGCGGUAAUACAGAGGGUGCAAGCGUUAAUCGGAAUUACUGGGCGUAAAGCGCGCGUAGGUGGUUCGUUAAGUUGAAUGUGAAAGCCCCGGGCUCAACCUGGGAACUGCAUCCAAAACUGGCGAGCUAGAGUAGGGCAGAGGGUGGUGGAAUUUCCUGUGUAGCGGUGAAAUGCGUAGAUAUAGAAAGGAACACCAGUGGCGAAGGCGACCACCUGAGCUAAUACUGACACUGUGGUGCGAAAGCGUGGGGAGCAAACAGG
This 429-nucleotide ribosomal RNA is filed under the name Pseudomonadota bacterium. RNAcentral's name for it is "Proteobacteria bacterium partial 16S ribosomal RNA". It matches the Rfam family "Bacterial small subunit ribosomal RNA", at positions 355 to 776 of the family's 1533-position model. The record is from RNAcentral. Lineage: Bacteria; Pseudomonadati; Pseudomonadota.